Molecule: ribosomal RNA, 253 nt
Filed under: uncultured bacterium
Lineage: Bacteria
Description: partial 16S ribosomal RNA
Rfam family: Bacterial small subunit ribosomal RNA
Source: RNAcentral
UACGUAGGGGGCAAGCGUUGUCCGGAUUUAUUGGGCGUAAAGAGCGUGUAGGCGGCCAGGUAGGUCCGCUGUGAAAACUCGAGGCUCAACCUCGAGAUGUCGGCGGAAACCAUCUGGCUAGAGUCCGGAAGAGGAGAGUGGAAUUCCUGGUGUAGCGGUGAAAUGCGCAGAUAUCAGGAAGAACACCCGUGGCGAAGGCGGCUACCUGGACAAUUGCUGACGCUCAGGCACGAAAGCGUGGGGAGCAAAAGGG